Molecule: ribosomal RNA, 283 nt
Filed under: uncultured bacterium
Lineage: Bacteria
Description: partial 16S ribosomal RNA
Rfam family: Bacterial small subunit ribosomal RNA
Source: RNAcentral
AACGAACGCUGGCGGUAUGCUUAACACAUGCAAGUCGAACGGAUAUAGCAAUAUAUUAGUGGCAAACGGGUGAGUAAUAUAGAGGAAUCUACCUAGCAGUAUGGAAUAACCCUGGGAAACCAGAGCUAAUACCAUAUAUUACCGUUUAUUCGGGAAAGAUUUAUCGCUGUUAGAUGAGCCUCUAUCGGAUUAGCUAGUUGGUAAGGUAAUGGCUUACCAAGGCUUUGAUCCGUAGCUGGUCUUAGAGGAUGAUCAGCCACACUGGAACUUAGACACGGUCCAG